Molecule: long non-coding RNA, 828 nt
Organism: Platichthys flesus (European flounder)
Lineage: Eukaryota; Metazoa; Chordata; Actinopteri; Pleuronectiformes; Pleuronectidae
Exons: 5
Source: RefSeq, a predicted model, not a curated record
AGGAGGAUGGACAACAAGUCCCAGCCCCUGCAGGACACCACCACAGCACUGGGCAGCUCCUUCAGCGACUGAUCCACCCUUAGCAUCUGAAGGAGAGGUAUCGCUGGGUCGUCACUUCCUGCAGCAGUGAGACUGUACAACCACAUGCACCUUUAAUGGAAUCCUGCAUUUUAUCUCAGGUGACCUGCCGGGGCCCUCUCGGUGCUACAGAGAUAAUAACGGCAUUGAGAAACGGCAACAGCAGUGACAAGAGCUGUAACGACGUCGCCCGACACAGCAACAGAGGACAGACAGCACUCCACUCCAGAUGGGGCGCUUCCUGUGCCAGGCAGGAAAUGGCACUGAGCUCCCUCGCCAUCAUAUUUCAUUUUAGCAGGGAAGGGACAUAAUCAUCGCUUCAUCUUCGAAACACAUCCAUUCCUCCCAGCGGAUUUAGAUGCAGACGACAAACGGCUUCAGGGUCAAAACAGAGACGGAUUAUAGGAAACCAAGGUUCCUGGCCCGAGUUGAACCCCGGGAGUUGAAAUCUUGGUGGCCGAAAGCCCUCAAGAAACAGCCGGGCUUCAUCUCCCCCUUCUUCUUCACACUCUUGCAAUUGCUCGCGAACUUCCAUUACUGGUUAAUGGAGACCUGCUCUCAGCCUGACCUUGAGGAGCACGGCGAGAGAAUGUGGUCGAGUUUCACUCACCGAGGACCUCUUGGUCAGCACCAUGAACCUGAAGCUGGGGCCUGCACUCAGACUCUGCUUCCACAUCAACUCUCUGAACGAUGCAUGUUUCAUGAAUGUGAACUCAUUUACUCUGGACUCUUUAUCACUCUGGAAUGUGC